GACGAACGCUGGCGGCGUGCUUAACACAUGCAAGUCGAACGGUGAAGGGACUGGUUUUGCUGGUCCUGGAUGAGUGGCGAACGGGUGAGUAACACGUGAGUAACCUGCCCCCUUCUUCUGGAUAACCGCAUGAAAGUGUGGCUAAUACGGGAUAUUCUGGGUCUGUCGCAUGGUGGGCCUGGGAAAGAUUGCGCCUUUUUUGGUGUUUUUGGUGGGGGAUGGGCUCGCGGCCUAUCAGCUUGUUGGUGGGGGGAUGGCCUACCAAGGGGGUGACGGGUAGCCGGCCUGAGAGGGUGGACGGUCACAGUGGGACUGAGACACGGCCCAGACUACUACGGGAGGCAGCAGUGGGGAAUAUUGCACAAUGGGCGAAAGCCUGAUGCAGCGACGCCGCGUGAGGGAUGGAGGCCUUCGGGUUGUGAACCUCUUUCGCCAGUGAAGCAGGCCUGCCUCUUUUUGUGGGUGGGUUGACGGUAGCUGGAUAAGAAGCGCCGGCUAACUACGUG
RNAcentral lists this ribosomal RNA (506 nucleotides) under uncultured bacterium. Its description in RNAcentral is "partial 16S ribosomal RNA". It matches the Rfam family "Bacterial small subunit ribosomal RNA", at positions 28 to 507 of the family's 1533-position model. The record is from RNAcentral.